Molecule: non-coding RNA, 3739 nt
Organism: Anas platyrhynchos (mallard)
Lineage: Eukaryota; Metazoa; Chordata; Aves; Anseriformes; Anatidae
Source: RefSeq, a predicted model, not a curated record
AGGAGGAGGAGGAGGAAAAGAUUGCAUCAAGAGCAGGAUUUUUUUUUUUUUUCCCUCUCUCUCUCUCUCUCUUACAGGAAGCCCUACUCUACCUUAGCCUUGGAAAGAGCCCCUUUUCAUAAAAUUAGCUGAAGGCACCUAUUCACAGCCAUGGGGCUGUGAAAAAAAAAAAAAAAAAAAGCAACAAACCGACUGUAGAGGGCUUUUUUUUUUUUUUUCUCUCUCUCUCUCUCUUUUUUCUCUUCGCUCCAAAAAAUAAAAGAGAAAUGCACACAGCUCCACUCUGCGAAAACUUGAUGUUUUUACCGUCUGCUCUCCGACACAUCUAGCGAGGGUGGUGGUUUUUUGGUGGUGGGUUGUUUUGUUGUUUUUUUUUUUUUCCCUUCUUUACCUCCGUUCAGCUCCUUUUAAAUCACAACCGCCCGGCAGAAAUCCGCUGCUUCUGCAAGGGAAAAAAGUAUAAUAAUCAUAAUAAAAUAAAUCCCCACGAGUUGAUUUCCAAAGGGUGCGCAGAGCCCUGUGUCCGUGCGGGUGCCCGCGUGUAGCAUCCCUGCCACGAUUUCUUCCCCCUCCCCUCCUCCUUCUCCUCCCACCCCGAAAAAGUGAUAAGGGGAUGGCUGCAGGAGCCCGCUUUCGGUUCUUAAACAAACCCCCCAACAGCUCGCCAUUGGGGGCGGUGGGGGCCGAAAUAUAUUUGAUUUUUUUUAAUAUUUUUUUUUUUCCCUCCUUCGCCAAGGAGUUUUAUGAAUGAAAGCGCCCGGCUGAGCUGGGAGUAACAUCCCAGCCCUGAAACUCCUGGAGCUGGUGAAAUGCAGGGGGAAAAGGGGGGCUAAAAGGGGGUGCAGCACUGUGUCCCCCCCCUCCCCAGGUCCUCGGAGGGCUCCGUAGGGAGGGAGUCGGCUGCAGCUCCCCCCCCCCCCCCAUCCCGGCUCCCUCCGGGCACGAGACGAGAACCCGGUGCCCGAGCGGAAAAAAAAAAGAAAAAAAAAAAAAAAAAAAAAAAAAGUAAAAAAAAGAAAAAAUCAGCGAAGAUUUCUGAACGUUUUCGCGAAGUGAAAAGAUUUUUUUUAUUUUUUUUUUUGCCGCGGGGGAAAAAAAAAUCUAAAAUAAACUACUUAAAGGGGGGGGGGGGAUCUCUCAGCCCCGCGCUUUCAUGCCGUGCUCAAUCGGCUUUUUGAAACUGCAGAUCCUUUGAGACAGAGAGGGAGAGAGAAGCGAAAAAAUCCCUAUUUGUAACUAAAACACCCUGCAACCUGGAAGGCUGGCAGAAUAAACCUAUUGUGGAGCCGAACCGCGCUGGGAUAUACAAGCAAAAAUCCCCCAGAGUACCACUGUUGGCGAAAAGAUGCACACGGAAAACAAACAGCACCAGGGGCUGCAGCUCUGAGUUGCUCCGCUUCACAUGGGCUCCUCCGCUGCGCUCAGGGAGCUGCCCAGAUCUCCAGCCAUGAGAAAGCGAAGCAAAGGACCGGGCUUUCUUGUCAUGUGCCUUUCUGGCUAAAACUGUGGAAACAAACAAACAAUCAAACAAACACAAAUUCUGGAAGGGGGGGGGGGGGGGGGGGCGGGAGGGAAGGAGAAGGAGAAAUCAUCCGCAACCGGAGCGCUGGAAGACCUCUCGUCCUCCUACUUCCCCGAGCGAGCUUGGAUGCUGGAAGGAGCCUCUUGGAUAUGGGAUCAUAUCUGGUUUAUCACAGCCUGGGUUUGAUCCUCUGCUGCUCCGUGCUGAGUUCAGUCUACGCUCUGGUGGAUGCUGACGAUGUCAUCACCAAAGAGGAGCAGAUCUUCCUACUGCUAAAAGCCAAGGCCAAGUGUGAGCGACAUCUGAAAGCCAAGGUGCCCAAGGUGCACGAAAGAAAUAUCACGUAAGUUGGCACGAAAGCUUGGUAGGGCUGCUGUCCUCAUUCUUGAGAGCUGACGCACAGGGAUAUUCAACGCCUCACCUCCCAUCUCAAAGGAGAGCCUGUGGCAGAGCCAAGAUUUGGGUUCUCAUCUCCUUACUCUUCAGCCAGGGCACAAGCCACAAACCACAUUUCCUUUUGUCCUGGAAUUCAAGGUGAGGCUCCAAGGAUUCAAACCCAGGUGGACAGAAACCGCCGAAAAUCUUUGGACGUAUCCCACUUGACUGAAACUCAAAACUCUCGUCAUCAUUCUUGCCGUAAAGCCUCUGGUUUUGUUUUGAAAUGAGGAAAGCACAUCUGAAAUUUCCUGCAGUGCAACGGGUACCUGGAUUCUCUUCCUCUUUUCCCUGUCUCAUUGCUGAGUGCAUUUCACAGGCCAGUUCUUCACCUGGUAUGAACUGGCAAAUUCCCAUUCAGUUAGUGAGGGCAUUGAUCUGUCUCACAUUCAUUGCUUUCUCUCACAGUUCAGCACUGCAACUUUUUUUUUUCCCUAACUAAUGUUCAUUCAGACUAAUGUGAUAAAUUGUUAGCAGGCAACCAAUGUUUAAAUAUAAUAAUAAAAUAACAACCAGAAUUUCAGAGAGAUCUGUGGAGAAAUGAGGAAGUAGCUCAGCUGAGCCACAAAGUUGGAUUUGGGGCUGUUAUCUGCUGAUCUCUUUUUCACCUUGCAGCUACCCACUCCUAAUGUGUUUGCCUGUUAAUAACAGGCUAGAAAUGUCUAUGUAGAUUAAUGCAAGUGAAGAAAAUGCACUGCGGGAGGGAUCUGUGAGUCCAGAACCACUGCUUGCCCCAUGAGAUUGAGGAGCAGGUUUCUGUGCACCACGCCUCCACUUCAGGCUUAGAUUUGGGCUGGAAACACAAACCAGCACUGACUGCAAAAUGUGAUCCUGCCUGUGCAUGGACUUCAUUAGCUCUUUCCUGGGAAGCAGCAAGCCCAGAAAAGUUGAGCAUCUCAAAUCACUCCUGUCUGCCUUCUGGAAGCAGGAAGGUGUUGGUCUCCAGGCCGAUCCAUGUUGCCCUUUCCCCUUUGCUGGUUUUACUGGCUCUUUUUUAUUAAAUCCAUAGUUUUAUUUCUUAGCCUGCAUGACGGUUAACGAGUGCCGUGUGCCUUGUGGUGCAGUGCCAAAGAGCAGCAGUUUCCAGGGCGGCUCGUAUCCAAGUGGCCAGUGAGUGGUUGCGUUGUUCUUCCUCCCUGGCCAGCAUUGGCGUCAUCUUUGCGCCGGGCCUGAUCCAACGUGGCUCCAGCUACUAAAAAUGGCUCUAAAACCCCAGCUAGCACGCCUAAAAAUUGGACUGGAUGUUGUGAAAAAAGGAAAUGGUUGGCAGGUGCAUGGAGAGCAGUGGUGUUCACCCUUUUUGUAGAGGCUGGAAGGAGAUGUUCAUUGGAAGGGGACUUCUGAAGGCUGGAAGGGAUGUUCAACAUCUGUCUUGGUUUCAAUUUUCCUUUGAUCCUUGGCCCAUGCCCUGAUAGACCAGGCAAAUAGCUGUCAACUGGAGUAUUCAAAUAUAUUAUCUGCUGCCAUGGCUCAGCAGUGCCUUGUUCAAUUUGAUGCAAUUUAACCAGAUCCAUGUCUAACCCCCAUUCUGACAGUGGCAGGGACCAAGAAGCAUCAGGGGAAAGCUUAAAAAUUCAACAGGGAUUUCUGGAGAGUGGGAACACGUGGCUAUUUCUCAUGUGAGUGCAAGCAAGGUUGAUGGUCCAAAGGAAAGACUUAGCAAACAAAGGUUUAAAAAGAAAGAGAUAAUAUAAGCUUCCUUCAACAGUAACAAAAUACUACUUAUCUGUAAAAUCUUCAAAUUUCUUUAUUUUCCCCCUAAAAAUGUUACCUUUCAUUUGU